Molecule: long non-coding RNA, 724 nt
Organism: Sander lucioperca (pikeperch)
Lineage: Eukaryota; Metazoa; Chordata; Actinopteri; Perciformes; Percidae
Exons: 4
Source: RefSeq, a predicted model, not a curated record
UCUUCUCCAUCUGAAGCCACACCUGCAGCAUUGAUAAUAGAAAAAAAGAGACACAGCUUCAAGGUAUGCUUAAACCUCCAAAGACUGAGUUUUGGGGGGCAGCGGAAACAAGUUGUGAACACAACCCUAAUAUAGCAAACUGUUACUUAUUUACAUCCAGCAGUUACAACAUUAUCAUUAAUUUGGAGUCUUGUUUCACCUGAUAAAUCCUGUUUGGCCUCUUAACAUGGUUGACAUAAGGAGGAGGAGGAAGGGCAUCUGACUGGGCGCUGUUGCAGUCCAUUGACUGUUUUCUUCAGAGGGAAAGGUCAGAGGAUACAGUACGGUGGGACACCUGCUGAAGCAACUUCAUGCAAAUAAGUCUCCUGUCCUGCAGAAGAGAAAAGGUGGGAAACCAAAUUGGAUCGAAUGUAAUUCAGUUCACCAAGCAGGGAAUGAAUCGAUAAUGCUGAGGAAUGGCUUUCAGAGGACUGAGUGCCCACCUUAGAGAAUUCCAGCCACUAUCAAGUGAGAGGAUACCCUGGCAAAGCAACUGCUGGAAUGCCUACAGUAUGAGAGAUUCCAUAAUAGGAGGUAGAAGAAGGAUAAACAGAAAAAGCAUGGAGCACCCAAGGCUUUAUCAUGGGUUUGGUGUUGUGUGUAAAUACCUAACUGACUUUAAAGUGGAGAUCUGUCAAACUACAAACUUCCUGCAAAUUUGCUGUCUCUUCAUUUAUUAUCUCCU